AUUGAACGCUGGCGGCAUGCUUUACACAUGCAAGUCGAACGGUAACAGGCCGCAAGGUGCUGACGAGUGGCGAACGGGUGAGUAAUGCAUCGGAACGUGCCCAGUCGUGGGGGAUAACGCAGCGAAAGCUGCGCUAAUACCGCAUACGAUCUAUGGAUGAAAGCGGGGGGACCGUAAGGCCUCGCGCGAUUGGAGCGGCCGAUGUCAGAUUAGGUAGUUGGUGGGGUAAAAGGCUCACCAAGCCAACGAUCUGUAGCUGGUCUGAGAGGACGACCAGCCACACUGGGACUGAGACACGGCCCAGACUCCUACGGGAGGCAGCAGUGGGGAAUUUUGGACAAUGGGCGCAAGCCUGAUCCAGCAAUGCCGCGUGCAGGAAGAAGGCCUC
This 388-nucleotide ribosomal RNA is filed under the name uncultured bacterium. Its description in RNAcentral is "bacterial SSU rRNA". It matches the Rfam family "Bacterial small subunit ribosomal RNA", at positions 29 to 418 of the family's 1533-position model. The record is from RNAcentral.